Triticum dicoccoides is the source of this 1308-nucleotide long non-coding RNA. RefSeq lists it as uncharacterized. The record is from RefSeq and is a predicted model, not a curated record. The transcript is spliced from 2 exons. Lineage: Eukaryota; Viridiplantae; Streptophyta; Magnoliopsida; Poales; Poaceae.
CACAAACUUGCUGUAGCGCGCACGUUCUCAACUCACCCCCACCAUGCCGCCACCUCACCCGCAUGCUCACCGGCCGCCGGAGCCACGGCCUCCUCCCGCGCGCUCGCCGGCCGCCGGAGCUGGCGCCUCCUCCCGCGUGCUCGUCGGACACCGGAACCGUUGCCUCCUCCCGCGCGCUCGCCGAACGCCCGAGCCGCCGCCUCCUCCUGCGCUCUCGCCGGACACCCGAGCCGCCGCCUCGCGCGCGUGGUCGCCGGCCAUCGGGCGCUCCUAUCCCAUCGCCGGUUCCUGCCGCCGCUGCCAGGUCCCCAGCCGCCAGAUCCCGCUACCGCAACCAGGGCCCCAACCGCCGGUUCCUGCCGCCGCUGCCAGGUCCCCAGCCACCAGAUCCCGCUGCCGCAACCGGGGCCACAACCGCCGGUUCUAGCCGCCGCUGAUGGUGGAAGGGCCGCCGAUGCAGGACACCUCCCGGCGCCGCGUAUCUGGUGACAUGACCUUCUCUGUCCUCUGAAAAUUGCAGGCGUCAGAGGGUAUGGGUACCUCUGGGAGCCGCUCUAGUGGGUCGGGAUGGUCACCAGUAAGUCUACCCUCAUCCUCUUGGACUUCGUUUGUUCCUUCCUUUGUCAUGUGAGAAUUGGAUCGAGAUAUCUCAUUGCAACCUGAACUUUCUUUCGGUGCUUGUUGGGGAGACUACCAAUUUUGUGGUUUAUAUGUUUGCGCCAGCCGUCCUCGUCGCGCCGCUCGGCGCACUCAGCAUCAUUGUCAGUGUUGUUCUAGCGCAUUUCAUGCUGAAUGAGAAGUUGCAGCGGGUGGGCGUUCUGGGUUGUGUUCUCUACAUUGUUGGGUCGACGGUGAUCAUCCUCCACGCUCCCGAGGAGAGGUCCCCGACCUCGGUGGAGCGGAUUUGGCGCCUGGCAAUACAACCUAGUAAGCAGAUGGGGGCACCAGCAACGGACUAGCGGCGACCGGGCAUUCUCUCAUCCAGAUGCCCACGGACGUGUGUCCUCAAUGCCAUGAGCUAGCCCCGCUCAACCUGUCUCCAGGACGAAGACGAGUCCACGGUGCUACCCAGCAGGAAGGAUGACAAGAAAGUUGCAAAAAAUGCUAGUGCAGCUGAUUGGCUCCUUUGUGUUGUGAUGUACUAUGUUGUGUAGAUUUUUUUGAAGUUCAUGUUGUGAACCCAACUAAGUUUGAGCACAGAAGUUUAGAUCGUGGCUGCUUUCAAUUUUCUCCUGUAGCAGAAAUCUCGCUUCCCUCCUGUUAUACUAUGUCCACCAAUGUGUUGUUUGUUAAUGCUUUUUGUCUGAA